AGUCGAACGGCAGCGGGGUAGUGCUUGCACUACUGCCGGCGAGUGGCGAACGGGUGAGUAAUAUAUCGGAACGUACCGAGUAAUGGGGGAUAACCAAUCGAAAGAUUGGCUAAUACCGCAUACGUCCUGAGGGAGAAAGCGGGGGAUCGCAAGACCUCGCGUUAUUCGAGCGGCCGAUAACUGAUUAGCUAGUUGGUGGGGUAAAGGCCUACCAAGGCGACGAUCAGUAGCGGGUCUGAGAGGACGAUCCGCCACACUGGGACUGAGACACGGCCCAGACUCCUACGGGAGGCAGCAGUGGGGAAUUUUGGACAAUGGGGGCAACCCUGAUCCAGCCAUGCCGCGUGUAUGAAGAAGGCCUUCGGGUUGUAAAGUACUUUUGUUAGGGAAGAAAAGGGAAGUGCUAAUACCACUUUUUGCUGACGGUACCUAAAGAAUAAGCACCGGCUAA
RNAcentral lists this ribosomal RNA (451 nucleotides) under Eikenella corrodens. Its description in RNAcentral is "bacterial SSU rRNA". It matches the Rfam family "Bacterial small subunit ribosomal RNA", at positions 60 to 500 of the family's 1533-position model. Lineage: Bacteria; Pseudomonadati; Pseudomonadota; Betaproteobacteria; Neisseriales; Neisseriaceae. The record is from RNAcentral.